UGAUACUAAGCCAUGCGAGUCAUUGUAGCAAUACAAGGCAUACGGCUCAGUAACGCGUAGUCAACCUAACCUAUGGACGGGAAUAACCUCGGGAAACUGAGAAUAAUGCCCGAUAGAACAUUAUGCCUGGAAUGGUUUAUGUUCCAAAUGAUUUAUCGCCGUAGGAUGGGACUGCGGCCUAUCAGUCUGUUGGUGAGGUAAUGGCCCACCAAGACUAUUACAGGUACGGGCUCUGAGAGGAGUAGCCCGGAGAUGGGUACUGAGACACGGACCCAGGCCCUAUGGGGCGCAGCAGGCGAGAAAACUUUGCAAUGUGCGAAAGCACGACAAGGUUAAUCCGAGUGGUUUCUGCUAAAGGAACCUUUUGUCAGUCCUAGAAACACUGAUGAAUAAGGGGUGGGCAAGUUCUGGUGUCAGCCGCCGCGGUAAAACCAGCACCUCAAGUGGUCAGGAUGAUUAUUGGGCCUAAAGCAUCCGUAGCCGGCUCUGUAAGUUUUCGGUUAAAUCUGUACGCUCAACGUACAGGCUGCCGGGAAUACUGCAAAGCUAGGGAGUGGGAGAGGUAGACGGUACUCGGUAGGAAGGGGUAAAAUCCUUUGAUCUAUUGAUGACCACCUGUGGCGAAGGCGGUCUACCAGAACACGUCCGACGGUGAGGGAUGAAAGCUGGGGGAGCAAACCGGAUUAGAUACCCGGGUAGUCCCAGCUGUAAACCAUGCAAACUCAGUGAUGCAUUGGCUUGUGGCCAAUGCAGUGCUGCAGGGAAGCCGUUAAGUUUGCCGCCUGGGAAGUACGUACGCAAGUAUGAAACUUAAAGGAAUUGGCGGGGGAGCACCACAAGGGGUGAAGCCUGCGGUUCAAUUGG
RNAcentral lists this ribosomal RNA (864 nucleotides) under uncultured archaeon. Its description in RNAcentral is "bacterial SSU rRNA". It matches the Rfam family "Archaeal small subunit ribosomal RNA", at positions 39 to 909 of the family's 1478-position model. The record is from RNAcentral.